This 684-nucleotide ribosomal RNA is filed under the name Microbacterium petrolearium. RNAcentral describes it as "bacterial SSU rRNA". It matches the Rfam family "Bacterial small subunit ribosomal RNA", at positions 59 to 753 of the family's 1533-position model. Lineage: Bacteria; Bacillati; Actinomycetota; Actinomycetes; Micrococcales; Microbacteriaceae. The record is from RNAcentral.
CAGUCGAACGAUGAAGCUGGAGCUUGCUCUGGUGGAUUAGUGGCGAACGGGUGAGUAACACGUGAGCAACCUGCCCCUGACUCUGGGAUAACAGCCGGAAACGGCUGCUAAUACCGGAUAUGCACCAUGAACGCAUGUUCUGUGGUGGGAAAGAUUUUUCGGUUGGGGAUGGGCUCGCGGCCUAUCAGCUUGUUGGUGAGGUAAUGGCUCACCAAGGCGUCGACGGGUAGCCGGCCUGAGAGGGUGACCGGCCACACUGGGACUGAGACACGGCCCAGACUCCUACGGGAGGCAGCAGUGGGGAAUAUUGCACAAUGGGCGAAAGCCUGAUGCAGCAACGCCGCGUGAGGGAUGACGGCCUUCGGGUUGUAAACCUCUUUUAGCAGGGAAGAAGCGAGAGUGACGGUACCUGCAGAAAAAGCGCCGGCUAACUACGUGCCAGCAGCCGCGGUAAUACGUAGGGCGCAAGCGUUAUCCGGAAUUAUUGGGCGUAAAGAGCUCGUAGGCGGUUUGUCGCGUCUGCUGUGAAAACUGGAGGCUCAACCUCCAGCCUGCAGUGGGUACGGGCAGACUAGAGUGCGGUAGGGGAGAUUGGAAUUCCUGGUGUAGCGGUGGAAUGCGCAGAUAUCAGGAGGAACACCGAUGGCGAAGGCAGAUCUCUGGGCCGUAACUGACGCUGAGGAG